AUUCUUAACAAUUUUAAAACAAAGGUGCUCACUUCUCAAGUACCAAAUAUUUGUAUCUCAGUUGUUGUAUUUAAAUUCCUAAUGGACGCUUGGCAGUUGGCAGUCAUUGAAUGAUCUUAUUAUUUUUGUAAAAAAGAAACUAUUCUGUACAUGCCUACUAAAGUUGCAGCUUUAUUGCUGGCAGGUUGAUAUUCAAAGAUCCCAUAUAUUUUCUUGUAAAUGUGAUCAAUUGACGUUGAACUUACUAAAAUGACUAUAAGAUGGAGGCAAAAUAAUGUGGCAUUUUAUCAUUGGAACCCCAAUAAGAUCCAUAACUGUAUUGGUUUUAUUGUGCAUUAUCUGCAUUGAUAUGAAACGUAGGGUAUUGACAACACUAUGGGAGUAAUUAGGCAACAAAAAGCUUAUUUUUAAUUGUUUUAGAAAUUAGCAAAUAGGUGUCUCAAUAAUAAAACAUGUGAUUGAAAUUCACUGAUGAAUGAUGACUAUAGGUUUUAAGCCAAAUUUAUGUGUUCCUGUAUUGCAGCUCUGAUUUAUCCAAUAUGUUUGUUGAUAACUGAAUUUUUAUUUUGGAUUUUAUUUUCUUCUGAUAGCUGGGGGAAAGGACAGCUAACA
RNAcentral lists this unclassified non-coding RNA (612 nucleotides) under Hevea brasiliensis (rubber tree). Lineage: Eukaryota; Viridiplantae; Streptophyta; Magnoliopsida; Malpighiales; Euphorbiaceae. The record is from RNAcentral.